RNAcentral lists this long non-coding RNA (475 nucleotides) under Androctonus crassicauda. The record is from RNAcentral. Lineage: Eukaryota; Metazoa; Arthropoda; Arachnida; Scorpiones; Buthidae.
UGAAAAACAGAGAUCAUCGGGCCAGACUCAGCAUCUCGAAAAAACUUUUCAGGAGUUACCAGAAGCGGGACGCGAACCUGGGUCCUUCCGCGUGUCACGCCAACUUUGUAUUCGGGGAUUUUAUUAUUCCAUAAUUCGGGGGAAUUAUGGUAAUCGUCAAUAAAAGACACAGUUUUUUCGUUUGUCCACUCCAUGUUGCCCGCUCCAAGCCGCACCGAUCCGUUGACUGUCGGAUAGACAGCGACACAGUUCGACACGUUGAAUCAUGUCGAGAGAUGACGCAAUCAAUAGGCAACAACGGUCAACUUGUAGCAUGCGGCAAGGAGACAUUUUUUUGUCGCUUUGUGUUCCUUCUAUGGAAAGACUGUGUGUAGUAUGCGUCAAUGCCGCAUGCUACAUGUUGCUUAAAAGUUGCCUCAGUGGAAUUGCGGCUUGAAAACCAGCUGCUAUAAAAUAAUAAAAAUGUCAUCCUCCU